This 253-nucleotide ribosomal RNA is filed under the name uncultured Armatimonadota bacterium. RNAcentral's name for it is "uncultured Armatimonadetes bacterium partial 16S ribosomal RNA". It matches the Rfam family "Bacterial small subunit ribosomal RNA", at positions 524 to 776 of the family's 1533-position model. The record is from RNAcentral. Lineage: Bacteria; Bacillati; Armatimonadota.
UACGGAGGGGGCGAGCGUUGUCCGAAGUUACUGGGCGUAAAGGGCGCGUAGGCGGGGCGAGCAGUCCGCUGUGAAAGUCCGAGGCUUACCCUCGGAAGGCCGGUGGAUACUCUCGCUCUUGAAGCAGCUAGGGGGAGAUGGAAUUACCGGUGGAGCGGUGAAAUGCGUAGAGAUCGGUAGGAACACCAGUGGCGAAGGCGGUCUCCUGGGGCUGACUUGACGCUGAGGCGCGAAAGCUGGGGGAGCCAACGGG